RNAcentral lists this ribosomal RNA (152 nucleotides) under uncultured eukaryote. RNAcentral describes it as "partial 18S ribosomal RNA". It matches the Rfam family "Eukaryotic small subunit ribosomal RNA", at positions 1299 to 1458 of the family's 1831-position model. The record is from RNAcentral.
UGGUGGAGUGAUUUGUCUGGUUAAUUCCGUUAACGAACGAGACCUCGGCCUACUAAAUAGUUGACUAAACUCUUCGGGGUUUAGCAAAAUUCCAAUUCAACUUCUUAGAGGGACUAUCGGUGGUUAGCCGAUGGAAGUUCGAGGCAAUAACA